GUGAUGAUGGCAAAGAGGUCACACCCGUUCCCAUACCGAACACGGAAGUUAAGCUCUUUAGCGCCGAUGGUAGUUGGGGGUUUCCCCCUGUGAGAGUAGGACAUCGC
Molecule: ribosomal RNA, 107 nt
Filed under: uncultured Metasolibacillus sp.
Lineage: Bacteria; Bacillati; Bacillota; Bacilli; Caryophanales; Caryophanaceae
Source: RNAcentral